UACUAGAGUAGCACUCGCAUAUCAAUAAGCGGAGGAAAAGAAACUAACAAGGAUUCCCCUAGUAACGGCGAGUGAAGCGGGAAGAGCUCAAAUUUGAAAUCUUAAAGGGUUUCCCUUUACGAAUUGUAGUUUAAAGAAGUGUUUUCUGUUGAGGUUUUGGUAAAAGUUCUUUGGAAUAGGACAUCAUAGAGGGUGAGAAUCCCGUAUUUGACCUUUACUUUCAACUUUGUGAUACACUUUCAAAGAGUCGGAUUGUUUGGGAAUGCAGUCCAAAAUGGGUGGUAAAUUUCAUCUAAAGCUAAAUAUUGGCGAGAGACCGAUAGCGAACAAGUACCGUGAGGGAAAGAUGAAAAGAACUUUGAAAAGAGAGUUAAACAGUACGUGAAAUUGUCAAAAGGGAAGCGUUUGACACCAGUGUUGUUUUUCUGAAAAUCAAUUAAAGAACUGUUUAUGCUAAGCUGUUUAGACUUUAUCAGCUAACUGUUUAGUUUUGAGCUUUUCUUUAAUGCACUUUUCAGUUAACAAGUCAACAUCAAUUUCUUUUGCUGUAAAAAAGCUUGAGGAAGGUGGCUUGAGAUUCGUCUUAAGUGUUUAUAGCCUCUUGCCUAUGCAGUCGGAGAGAUUGAGGUCUGCAGCGUAGAUCCUUCGGGGCUAAAUGCAUUUGUGCUAAGUUAUAGCAUUCUAUAGACAACUUGUUGACUAUGAUUUGUCUUGUAGCUUACUCGCUUAUGUUAUUUUACCUACGCUUAGGAUGUUGAGCGCAUGUCUCUCUCU
Molecule: ribosomal RNA, 774 nt
Filed under: uncultured Neocallimastigales
Lineage: Eukaryota; Fungi; Neocallimastigomycota; Neocallimastigomycetes; Neocallimastigales
Description: partial large subunit ribosomal RNA
Rfam family: Eukaryotic large subunit ribosomal RNA
Source: RNAcentral